Molecule: long non-coding RNA, 387 nt
Organism: Erpetoichthys calabaricus (reedfish)
Lineage: Eukaryota; Metazoa; Chordata; Cladistia; Polypteriformes; Polypteridae
Exons: 3
Source: RefSeq, a predicted model, not a curated record
UUUCACCUAUAAAUCAUAUUCAUUAUAUAUAUAUAUAACAAACGUGAUUUUUUCUGUUAGCAUCUUAUUAAAUAGAGAUGGGCGUGUUAAUCUUGCUAUCCGGAAGUGAAUGAAAUGACCGCUGCUGCGAGUUUUCAAGCACACUGGAUGAAGACCUGCGAAAACUUGGAAGCUUCACUGAUCUUUGACAUCAUAUAUAAGAUACUGUAUUCUUGUGGGAGACACAGCUUCAGAGUUUUGGGAACCACAAUUUGCACAGAAAGUAAACUAUGGAGGAGAACUUCUUGGGUCAAAACCAAACAGUAACACAGACUGGAGAGAAAAAUCUGUGAUCAGCUGAGGAAAGAGAUCUCCUGUGAGCAAACAUCUAGCUCUCCAUGUCAAGAG